This 675-nucleotide long non-coding RNA is filed under the name Cricetulus griseus (Chinese hamster). RNAcentral's name for it is "lncRNA (ENSCGRG00015029884.1)". The record is from RNAcentral. Lineage: Eukaryota; Metazoa; Chordata; Mammalia; Rodentia; Cricetidae.
GCGCGCUCGCCCCGCGCCCUCCGUCCCCACGCCGGCCUCCGCGCCCUCGCGUGCUGCAGCAUCUCCGCGCUGCCCGGCCUCCCAGCCGCAGCCUCCCCUCGCCGUCGCCUGUCCUUGCUGCCACCAUCGCUGCCGCCAUUCUUGGCACGGAGCUGGCCCGACCGGGCCCCGCCGAGAGCCGCCGCGGGUCGGACGCGCGCUUCAGACUCUGUUAACACCACUGGAACACAGCCAGGUUCUGCACGCCGACAUGUCUGACAAUACUGGUCCCUAGGGCUGAGUCCAUCGCCUUCCUGUGCCCCAGAGAGCUGCAGCAGUGGGCCACACCACCCUGUAACAGCUGUGCCACUGGAAGAUGAUGCUGCAUUGGUGUCUGGUGCCAGGGACUCACCAGCUUCCCCAUGCGCCCUGUGAGUGACCCGCCAAGCUUCACAAUCUGAAUUGUCUAGGCACGGCCACAGCACAGAACAGGAGACCUGUCACCCGCUCUGACAUCCCUGGCCUGCUGGCACAGAUACUGUUAUAAGCCUCACCAGACCAGAGGUAUGCAGGGCCAGGGUCUAAAAUUCAACCCAGAUUUCCAGGCCCUGGGAUCCUGUAUGGGUACCUAGGCUGCCAGGAGUAGAGGGCUCUUCUUGGAGGGACAGUGAGGCUUGGGUCCUACUUUUCUGCUUG